This 1267-nucleotide long non-coding RNA is filed under the name Phasianus colchicus (ring-necked pheasant). RNAcentral's name for it is "lncRNA (ENSPCLG00000021444.1)". The record is from RNAcentral. Lineage: Eukaryota; Metazoa; Chordata; Aves; Galliformes; Phasianidae.
AUGUCAAAAAGUAGAAAAGAAACAAAAACAUGCCACAAAAGUAGCAGUAUUACUUACACUUUUCUCUACAGCGCUUGCAUAGACAAACAUGGAAUUCCAGAAACAAAAUCACUCACAGGUAACAUAUACACAGCUGCAAUGCAAUUAGUUCCCACCACCAACUGAUGCCCUGCAACCCCCAAGCAUUGCCACCCCCAGCCAAUUGCUUGCCUCACAACAGCCUUCUUUGUGGUGCCACAUGGCACAGAAUGACACCCAGCCUCAUCCUGACUCUGUUCUGGCCCUGCCCCACCAGCUGCCCCACUCCACCAUGGUAGCGGCUCUGCCCUGCCAAGCAGCCCAGCCCUGCCCCAGGCAUGCUUUCAUCAGUCAGCAACAGCCAAACAUUUGUUCACUCCUUAUUCCACACCAUUUACAUCAUGUCCAGGUCCUACACUUUCCCAUACAUGCCUAUUAAUUACACAGAUAUCACCCCUCUAUAUCGUGCAUGGAAUUCAUUUAGUCUGUCAUUUGGGCUUCAUCUGUUGCAACAGUCCCUCAGAGCAGGAGAGAUUAUGCACAGUGCUGGAUUGGCGCACGCUGGAGCACAACAAAGGCAAUAAAAAAAAAAGGAGAGAGAUAAAUGGAACAUGCUGUUUGGAGAGCAACUGGAACGUUUUUGCAUAGCAGUGAGGAUUACCUCUUCAAAGAAACUGGGCAGUGAAAAGCAUCAGCAGCCCCCUGCCAGAACACAGACACCCUGGUUUCCUGCUUGAUGUUCAGCUCACACAGUGUCUCACGAGAUAAAAUUUAAAGCCUCAGCCCUCAAGAACUGCAAUCUCUGAAUCCUGAAUCUAUCCACAGCUGUGCUUUAACAAAGAUCAUCUGCCCUGCUGUGGAUGAGCAUUCUCCAGUAUGCCUCAAGCACAAAGUGUUGGGACAUCUUGGAAGCUGAUCCAAAAAUACAAGCUUGUCAUCAUUUUCCUAGAGAACACAACACUAACAAGGGAUGCUUUAAGAAGAUUCUAACAAUUGCAUCUGUAUUUGAAGCUUUAUGUCCCCGUAUUUAUCUCACUUUCCUGUACCUGUUUCCCCUCUUUAAUCACCUACCCUAAGCAAAGGCCUGUUUCUACAGCUCAGAGACUUCAGCUUCUCACUGUUUUGAGGAGUUAUGAAUCUGCAAAUCGAUUUUAAUAUAAAUACUGUAGCACGGCACAGAGGUAAGAACAGCUAAUCAAGGCACUACAUUUGAAAUUAGAAGUUACUGAUCCUAAAAGAUAAAGUCAAG